Small nucleolar RNA from Grammomys surdaster, 141 nucleotides. RefSeq annotates it as small nucleolar RNA SNORA48. Lineage: Eukaryota; Metazoa; Chordata; Mammalia; Rodentia; Muridae. The transcript has a single exon. The record is from RefSeq and is a predicted model, not a curated record.
UGUCAAUGGGCAAAGAAACAUCUUGUUUGUUGUUGGUGAUGUUCUUAUAUCAGUCGAGGCAGAGCAGACGACAGUCCUUUGUUCAUCCUAGCUUGAUGCCUGGCUUGCUGGCCAAAGCUGUUUUCAGCCUAGGACAUAGAA